This 1340-nucleotide ribosomal RNA is filed under the name uncultured bacterium. RNAcentral's name for it is "bacterial SSU rRNA". It matches the Rfam family "Bacterial small subunit ribosomal RNA", at positions 28 to 1381 of the family's 1533-position model. The record is from RNAcentral.
GAUGAACGCUGGCGGCGUGCUUAACACAUGCAAGUCGAACGGUGAAGCAGAGCUUGCUCUGUGGAUCAGUGGCGAACGGGUGAGUAACACGUGAGCAAUCUGCCCCUGACUCUGGGAUAAGCGCUGGAAACGGCGUCUAAUACCGGAUACGAGCUGCGACCGCAUGGUCAGUAGCUGGAAAGAAUUUCGGUCAGGGAUGAGCUCGCGGCCUAUCAGCUUGUUGGUGAGGUAAUGGCUCACCAAGGCGUCGACGGGUAGCCGGCCUGAGAGGGUGACCGGCCACACUGGGACUGAGACACGGCCCAGACUCCUACGGGAGGCAGCAGUGGGGAAUAUUGCACAAUGGGCGAAAGCCUGAUGCAGCAACGCCGCGUGAGGGAUGACGGCCUUCGGGUUGUAAACCUCUUUUAGCAGGGAAGAAGCGAAAGUGACGGUACCUGCAGAAAAAGCGCCGGCUAACUACGUGCCAGCAGCCGCGGUAAUACGUAGGGCGCAAGCGUUAUCCGGAAUUAUUGGGCGUAAAGAGCUCGUAGGCGGUCUGUCGCGUCUGCUGUGAAAACCCGAGGCUCAACCUCGGGCCUGCAGUGGGUACGGGCAGACUAGAGUGCGGUAGGGGAGAUUGGAAUUCCUGGUGUAGCGGUGGAAUGCGCAGAUAUCAGGAGGAACACCGAUGGCGAAGGCAGAUCUCUGGGCCGUAACUGACGCUGAGGAGCGAAAGGGUGGGGAGCAAACAGGCUUAGAUACCCUGGUAGUCCACCCCGUAAACGUUGGGAACUAGUUGUGGGGUCCAUUCCACGGAUUCCGUGACGCAGCUAACGCAUUAAGUUCCCCGCCUGGGGAGUACGGCCGCAAGGCUAAAACUCAAAGGAAUUGACGGGGACCCGCACAAGCGGCGGAGCAUGCGGAUUAAUUCGAUGCAACGCGAAGAACCUUACCAAGGCUUGACAUAUAGAGGAAACGUCUGGAAACAGUCGCCCCGCAAGGUCUCUAUACAGGUGGUGCAUGGUUGUCGUCAGCUCGUGUCGUGAGAUGUUGGGUUAAGUCCCGCAACGAGCGCAACCCUCGUUCUAUGUUGCCAGCACGUAAUGGUGGGAACUCAUGGGAUACUGCCGGGGUCAACUCGGAGGAAGGUGGGGAUGACGUCAAAUCAUCAUGCCCCUUAUGUCUUGGGCUUCACGCAUGCUACAAUGGCCGGUACAAAGGGCUGCAAUACCGUGAGGUGGAGCGAAUCCCAAAAAGCCGGUCCCAGUUCGGAUUGAGGUCUGCAACUCGACCUCAUGAAGUCGGAGUCGCUAGUAAUCGCAGAUCAGCAACGCUGCGGUGAAUACGUUCCCGGGUCU